Homo sapiens (human) is the source of this 439-nucleotide long non-coding RNA. Ensembl annotates it as TRAF3IP2 antisense RNA 1. Its record names the gene TRAF3IP2-AS1. The record is from Ensembl. NCBI's taxonomy places the organism in Eukaryota, Metazoa, Chordata, Mammalia, Primates, Hominidae.
CAAGUUCGAAAUUUGCCCCUGAAUUAGGACCCUUGACACAUUUCUAACCCAUCCAAGUAGAGAUCGUUCUUUUACAUUUGUGUGUUAUACAGGUGCAUUUUAGUGGUUACCAGGUUGCCACGUAUUUGAAGUGGUGUGAGAGCUACUCGUUUGGAACCGUUGUGGAUUUUCAAAUAGGAAAAUCAAAAGGCCCAAAGAGACAGCUCACUGUAUUCCCACGAGCAUUCUGCUGAGAUGAACAAUCAGAUGACCUCGUGUGAGAUUUGGAGGAGAGAAGGAAAUGGAGAGCAUGCGUCUGCCGCUUCUGUGGUUUCUGUCGGUAAGCACAGUGAUGAGGUGCUGAGUUUUCCCCAGAAGGCCUCCCAGUGUCCUAUUACCAGCUUCACAAGCGUCGAGGGCAGGGCAUGGGCAUCUAUUGUUCACCAGUGGAGAUCUAUCU